AGGAUCAUUAUUGAAUUUAAUGAGGGGAUAUUUGGUUGUAGCUGGCUCAUGAAUUUGGGCAUGUGCACACCUAUCUCUUUCAUCCACACACACCUGUGCACUUGUGAGGCAGAUGGGGAAUUUAUUGAUUGUUUUUUAAGAACAAUUGGUGCUGGACCCUCUGUCUACUCAAUACAUAAACUCAAUUUAUUUAGAAAUGAAUGUAAUGGAUGUAACGCAUCUAAUACUAAGUUUCAACAACGGAUCUCUUGGCUCUCGCAUCGAUGAAGAACGCAGCGAAAUGCGAUAAGUAAUGUGAAUUGCAGAAUUCAGUGAAUCAUCGAAUCUUUGAACGCACCUUGCGCUCCUUGGUAUUCCUUGGAGCAUGCCUGUUUGAGUAUCAUGAAAUCUUCAAAGUAAAUCUUUUGUUAACUCAAUUGGUUCUACUUUGGUAUUGGAGGUCUUUGCAGCUUCACACCUGCUCCUCUUUGUUCAUUAGCUGGAUCUCAGUGUUAUGCUUGGUUCCACUCAGCGUGAUAAGUUAUCUAUCGCUGAGGACACUGUAACAGGUGGCCAAGGGAAAUGCAGAUGAACCGCUUCUAGUAGUCCAUUGACUUGGACAAUAUUUUUAUGAUCUGAUCUCA
RNAcentral lists this unclassified non-coding RNA (623 nucleotides) under Rhizoctonia solani. RNAcentral's name for it is "sequence contains ITS1, 5.8S rRNA gene, ITS2". The stretch from base 229 to 382 matches the Rfam family "5.8S ribosomal RNA". The record is from RNAcentral. Lineage: Eukaryota; Fungi; Basidiomycota; Agaricomycetes; Cantharellales; Ceratobasidiaceae.